GAGUCACUCUUAACAAGACAGGAGAAAGCAGUUUCCUGCUUUCACGCCUUCCCUUUUUUCUUUUCUCUCUUCCUUCCUUCUUCCGUUCCUCUUCCUUCCCUCCCUCUUGACCUUCCUCUCUCCCUCCCUUCUUUCCUUCCUUCCUGUGGCUCUCCUUUGUGAGUGACCUACCUCCGCUUCCUACUCUGUGACUUUGCACAUUCAAUCAUUGCCUGGCUCCACCAGCAGUAUAUAAGGUGAAAGAGGAUCCUGCCAGCUGUUCUAGGCCCAGAGGACACCUCUCUCUCUCUCUCUGUCACUCACACACACACACACACACACACACACUCUCUCUCUCUCUCUCACACACACCCACUUAUUGAUGGGGUAAUAGGAUCAAGAGGUAGCUUUGCAUCAUCAAAAAGAAGUCAGUCAUUCUAGCCUGGAGCUUUAGAAGACGAAGUAAAAAAGAAGUCAGACAGUCCUAGCUUUGAAUCCUGGCCCAGCCACUUACUAGGUGGGAGACCUUGGGACAAUCGUAUCCCUUCUGGGGGAAUUUCCCCACCUCCAUGUUGAAGCCAAGGAUGACUAGUACUCCAUGGAAAAGAGGUCAACAUGAUAACCAGGAGAUGUGGUCAUGGGGCAUUAAAAGGUUCGAAGCUGUUCCAGAAAGGAUGUCAUUGAUGUGGAAUACAGGAACUGUGGAUGCCUCCUGAAUGGGAGCUGCAAACGAUUAUCAGAGUCAAGCAAGAGGAAUGGCAAGGCAUGUGCUGAAUAACAUCACAUUAAUAUGGCUCUUAGCUACCUAACCCAUUAGGAGCCAUAAUUAGGAGAGUUUGAAACAGACUGCAAGCAUCUUCUCCAGAAAGAAGCUAGAUCUCUCAGCAGAGUAAUUUUAUUUAAACUGAACUUGAAG
Molecule: long non-coding RNA, 895 nt
Filed under: Homo sapiens (human)
Lineage: Eukaryota; Metazoa; Chordata; Mammalia; Primates; Hominidae
Description: non-protein coding lnc-HFM1-4:5
Source: RNAcentral